GGGUUCGGGGGGCCGGUUGGGGCGGCGGGUGGCGGGUGGGGCGCCCCGGUGUUGUAGGAAGGAGCGGUGUUGGGUGGUGGAAGGAGGGCGGCGGUGUGAUCCGAGGGUGUUAGCGGGGUGGAAGAAGAUUGGCGGCGGUACCUUGUGGUGGAGACGGGGCUAGGUGGAACCAGGACACGCGGCGGCAGCCGGCACCUAGGGCCCGCUGCGGAGGACAGAAACCUAGCGCUGGAGGCGGCGUCCCCAGGGGCUCACUUCUGCUCGUUCGGCACGUAGGGUCCGUGGCAGAGGAUGGAGACUAGGGCGGCCGGCGGUGGCCCCAGGGGCUGAUUUCCUACGUUUUGGUGAUCACGUCGCCCACUUUGUGCGAUUCUGUAACCUCCCCGCUUCGAGGGGCUGUCCACGGUCCAUUCAAAGUGGUCACCGGCUACGGUGCCAGUGGUCGGGGCACGUACCCCAGCGUGGCGGACAGGGAGGUAGACCACGAUCGUGGCUCCAGGGAAGAGAACUUAGACUGUUACUCAACCCUCUCCGGGUGGUUGUUCUCCUCGUGGUUCUCUGCCUAGGACAGUACGCCAGGGGCAGUUGGUAGCGGGGUCUCUCACGGUGGGGCUGUUCCCGGAGGUAGCUGCUAGGAUAAACGCGGCCAUGGUGGAGCGGGCACUCUAAUCAACUUCCAUCACGUGGCUGUUGUGUUCGAAGGAACCCUCCCUCACGGGGGGGGGGGUGUGUGUUGUUCAUGACUGUCCAUUAGGAGAGUAAUAAGGUGUGAAACGACCCUGAAAAUAAAAAGAACAGAACUUGAACGUUAAACUUGGAACAAAUAAAAAACUAGACUCGGGGUUAAAAGGGGCUUCCUUCACUGUGAUGAUGUCCUAUGAGGAUUACGCUGUGAUACUAAUCUCUGGGAAGCAGCUUUGAUACACGCUACGUUAUUAGUGUUUGCCACCACAUUUUUUGGGCAGUUUUUCCACGUUUUUCAAACACUACCUCCUACGUAGUUUGUGCCAAGUCUAAAACCAACGCACACGCUACGUCCCGUAUGUCAAGUCAAGUUAAUUGACAAACGCUACUACUCCUUGUUUUCUUUGCCCUUCGGUCUACUUCCACACACACUAUAUGUUGUAUGCCAAGUGAGCCUACUUGACAAACACUAAUCCGUUGUGUUUUCUUUGCCAGUCGGUCUAGUUCCACACACGUUAUAUACAGUACGCCAAGUUAGCCUA
RNAcentral lists this ribosomal RNA (1226 nucleotides) under Triticum aestivum (bread wheat). RNAcentral describes it as "partial small subunit ribosomal RNA". Lineage: Eukaryota; Viridiplantae; Streptophyta; Magnoliopsida; Poales; Poaceae. The record is from RNAcentral.